This 76-nucleotide transfer RNA is filed under the name Sergentomyia minuta. RNAcentral's name for it is "tRNA-Ser". The record is from RNAcentral. Lineage: Eukaryota; Metazoa; Arthropoda; Insecta; Diptera; Psychodidae.
AGUUAAUGAGCUUGAAUAGCAAUUGUUUUGAAAACAAUAGAUAGAAUAUAAAUCAUUCUAUUAACUUUACUAAAAU